This 285-nucleotide unclassified non-coding RNA is filed under the name Hevea brasiliensis (rubber tree). The record is from RNAcentral. Lineage: Eukaryota; Viridiplantae; Streptophyta; Magnoliopsida; Malpighiales; Euphorbiaceae.
AGAAGAAAAAAAAGAUGAAAGGGAAAAUAGAAGGAAAACAGAAAGUGGAACCCAUGACCUUGUUUGUUAUCAUAUAGGUCUUAUUUCUCAUUUUCCUCCCAUUUACUUCUCCCUUUCCAGUUUCCUCCACUUCCCAAACAUAACAUUAAAAGUUUUAAAUCCAAAUGAAAGUGAAUAGUGUGAGGAAAAUGGAAAACAGUAUUAAAACAAAAUCAAAAUAUGUUAAUAAGUCUUUAUGGCUAAAUUUAGGAGAGGGAGGGGAAAUUGAAAGAAGAGAAAAUAGAA